GACCAAUUCAUCCACGCGAUCUCUCUGCAUCCCCGCUCCACUUCGUGCCCUAGGCCUAAUCGCCGCACCGGCGAUGACGGUGAGUGAUGCUUUGGGUUGCUGCCACCAGCCCUACUGCUCCCGGUCCCUUUGGUUGUGUUCAUCAAGGUUCCAGUCAACUGAUUUGGGCAAAUCUUGGAGGUUGGUACUCAUCGAGCCGCCGAUCUUCAAUCUGAUCCAUUCAAGUCAGGCUUGACUGAUUGAUGCAGGGCGAAUCAAGGCGGGCCUGACUGAUUGAUGCAGGGCGAAGCAAGGCCGGGGUCAAUUUUUGUUGGUUCUAUCGGUAACGGCCUCGCUCGACACUUCCUUGGCGUUGACACUUACAUGCGGUGGAUUUUCACGCCCCUACGCCCCUUCUUCACUGGACAAUAAUACAAAGGGUAUUCCAAAUUUCCAUCUUUGCUCCUCCUCCAUGCUUUGUUCCCCC
This 466-nucleotide ribosomal RNA is filed under the name Triticum aestivum (bread wheat). Its description in RNAcentral is "partial small subunit ribosomal RNA". The record is from RNAcentral. Lineage: Eukaryota; Viridiplantae; Streptophyta; Magnoliopsida; Poales; Poaceae.